GGACCUCAGAUCAGGCAAGACCACCCGCUGAGUUUAAGCAUAUCAC
This 46-nucleotide ribosomal RNA is filed under the name Cololejeunea indosinica. Its description in RNAcentral is "partial 26S ribosomal RNA". Lineage: Eukaryota; Viridiplantae; Streptophyta; Jungermanniopsida; Porellales; Lejeuneaceae. The record is from RNAcentral.